GGGAAGGCCACGCUCAUGUGUCUGGCCAACAAGGGCUUCCCCUCAGACUGGAGUCUGUCCUGGAAGGUGGACGGCAGCAGCAGCAGCAGCUGGGAGGAGAGCAGGAGCCCCGGGGUGCUGCAGGAGGACGGCCUCUACAGCUGGAGCAGCACCCUGAGGCUCCCUGCAGACCAGUGGGGGAAGGUGGGCUCUGUGAGCUGUGAGGCCACCCAGGGCUCCCAGACUCCACUCUCAGAGUCACUGAGGAGAGACCAGUGUUCCCAGUCCUGACCUCACCCACUGGGAACAUCACAUUGGUUCUGUUCUGAUACUGUUCUCUGUUUUUCUUUCUCUCUUUGGCUCUUUCGUUUCUAAUGACUCCAACUUACCAUUAUUAUGAUUCACCUUCAGUGACGCUGAUACUGUUCAUGCUUCAAAACAAUAAAGAUUUGUCUCUGAUUAUCAA
Non-coding RNA from Acanthochromis polyacanthus (spiny chromis), 445 nucleotides. The record is from the annotation of a RefSeq genome assembly. Lineage: Eukaryota; Metazoa; Chordata; Actinopteri; Pomacentridae.